AUAAUCUCAGGAAUUUGGGAGGCCAAGGACCAAGGAGCCUCAUAAGUUUGAGACUGGCCUGUGCAACAGAGUGAGACCUUGCUGAGACUCUGUUGAGAUCAGGAGUUAGAGACCAGUCUGGCCAAUAUGGUGAAACCCUGUCUCUACUAAAAAUACAAAAAUUAGCCAGGCACGGUGGCGGGCGCCUGUAAUCCCAGCUUUUCGGGAGGCUGAAGCUGGAGAAUCGCUUGAACCUGGGAGACAGGGGUUGCAGUGAGCUGAGGUUGCGCCACUGCACUCCAGCCUGGGCCACAGAGUGAGACUCCAUCCCCUCCAAAAAAAAUAGCUGGGCGCAGUGGCUCACGCCUGUAAUCCCAGCAUUUUGGGAGGCCAAGGUGAGCGGAUCACCUGAGGUCAGGAGUUUGAGACCAGCCUGGCCAACACAGUGAAACCCCGUCUCUACUAAAAAUACACAAAUAAGCCAGGCGUGGUGGCAGGCACCUGUAAUCCCAGCUACUCUGGAGGCUGAGGCAGGAGAAUCGCUUGAACCCAGAGACGGUGGAGGUUGCAGUGAGCUGAGAUCACAUGAUUACACUCCAGACUGGAUGAGAGAGGGAGACUCCAUCUCAAAAAAAAAGAAAGAAAGAAAUUUGGCCAGGUGUGGUGGCUCACGCCUGUAAUCCAAGCACUUUGGAGGCUAAGGCGGGCAGAUCACCUGAGGUUGGGAGUUCAAGACCAGCCUGACCAACAUGGUGAAACCCUGUCUUUAAAUAUAUAUAUAUACAUAUAUAUAUUUUUUAAAAAAUUCUUAAAAGGUUUUUGAAAGAAGGGGCCCCUGUCCCCCAUUUUUGCUUUGCACUGAGCUCUGCAAUUCCAUGUCCAGUCCUGGUCACCACAGUCUUGCAAAAGCCAGCAAGGCUGUCCUUCUCAGCAAGGUCUCCACUGCAUAUGACCUCAUCUUCCUUUGUCAGCUACGAGCAAACAGGAGGAGGAAGCAGGUCUCCAGAGCCCAGCAGCAGGGAGCCGGGAGAGGGCAGCUGCACUGGAGAAGGCUCUACCACCAAGAGGGGUGAGAGGAAGGGAGAAGAGGGAGGAGGAGGGAGGCUGUGCAGGGCAGACAGGACAGAGCUGGGCAGGCAGACAGGUGGGUACUCCCAGAAAAGGGGUUGAUGGGCAUAGAAGGUGGGCCAGAGGUCCAUUUUACCUAGUCACCCGGCCUAGCUGGAUGCCCUGUCACCCUAUCACUCAUCUGUCCCACUUGUCUCCAUCACACGAGUGCCAAUCAGACCCUCUGGUGCCUAUCUAGCCCACUUGGCAGCCACCCGGGUAGGUAGGGGAAAAAGACUUUAUUCCAAUGAGAGAGAUCAAUACAUAGAGGCAGAAACUUAGAAACCCCCAAAUCCAGAAUGACCAAGAAAGGCCUCAUAGAUUAACCUAGAAUCAAUAGACCCUAAAAGAGUUUGAAGCACAAGAGACCCUUUACCCAAAAGGCCCUGUCGAGGAGCCUCAAAUCAAGAUACCCCAAGAAGGAAGUGAACAAGUCACCCAGCCUUGAGAGGAGGCCCCGGCCCAAAGGGACUCCCCAGAGGGACCUCAGGAGGAGAGAGCUGGCAGUGGGCAUGCGAUUCUCUUUACUCACUCUUCCUUUAUGUGACCUUUUCUUCCC
Long non-coding RNA from Callithrix jacchus (white-tufted-ear marmoset), 1645 nucleotides. The record is from Ensembl. NCBI's taxonomy places the organism in Eukaryota, Metazoa, Chordata, Mammalia, Primates, Cebidae.